UACAGAGGGUGCAAGCGUUGUUCGGAAUUACUGGGCGUAAAGGGCGCGUAGGCGGCCUGCUAAGUCGAACGUGAAAUCCCUGGGCUCAACCCAGGAACUGCGUCCGAUACUGGUUGGCUUGAAUCCGGGAGAGGGAUGUGGAAUUCCAGGUGUAGCGGUGAAAUGCGUAGAUAUCAGGAGGAACACCGAUGGCGAAGGCAGGUCUCUGGGCUGACACUGACGCUCAUGCACGAAAGCGUGGGGAGCAAACAGG
This 253-nucleotide ribosomal RNA is filed under the name uncultured bacterium. RNAcentral describes it as "partial 16S ribosomal RNA". It matches the Rfam family "Bacterial small subunit ribosomal RNA", at positions 524 to 776 of the family's 1533-position model. The record is from RNAcentral.